AGUGAACGCUGGCGGUAGGCCUAACACAUGCAAGUCGAACGGCAGCACAGUAAGAGCUUGCUCUUACGGGUGGCGAGUGGCGGACGGGUGAGGAAUACAUCGGAAUCUACUUUUUCGUGGGGGAUAACGUAGGGAAACUUACGCUAAUACCGCAUACGACCUACGGGUGAAAGCAGGGGAUCUUCGGACCUUGCGCGAUUGAAUGAACCGAUGUCGGAUUAGCUAGUUGGCGGGGUAAAGGCCCACCAAGGCGACGAUCCGUAGCUGGUCUGAGAGGAUGAUCAGCCACACUGGAACUGAAACACGGUCCAGACUCCUACGGGAGGCAGCAGUGGGGAAUAUUGGACAAUGGGCGCAAGCCUGAUCCAGCCAUACCGCGUGGGUGAAGAAGGCCUUCGGGUUGUAAAGCCCUUUUGUUGGGAAAGAAAAGCAGCAGGUUAAUACCCCGCUGUUCUGACGGUACCCAAAGAAUAAGCACCGGCUAACUUCGUG
Molecule: ribosomal RNA, 492 nt
Filed under: uncultured bacterium
Lineage: Bacteria
Description: partial 16S ribosomal RNA
Rfam family: Bacterial small subunit ribosomal RNA
Source: RNAcentral